ACUGGGGUGUUGUUGCGGGCGCACUGCUUAAGCUCCGAGCUUUAAUUAAAGAUACUGAGUAACUAAAGAUCCCAGUAAUUAAAAGGAGAAGUGUUUUUCUUUAGAAACACCGUGCUUGUUUGAUGCUCGCGAGUCUUUGGAGUGUUUUCGAGAAAUCAAAGCGGGGAUUGUGUUUGUUAAAGAACUGUGACGUCAUGUUGAUGAGGCGACGUUGAUUUUUUUUCCAACGUUUCUUUGGAGAUAUGUGAAGCUUGUUUAGAAUCAUGUGAAACGCAACAUGUUGGAGUAUGAUUGGAUGACAAGUUACGUAAAAUGUUUUCAGCAUGAGCAGAAUGAAAAUUACACGAAGAGUAAAAUGAAGUAAAAUGAAGCAGAAAGCAGGACGAAAUAUACCUACAAAGGUUAAAGGAAGUCAUAGUCAAAAACUACUACUAACUGAAAUGUCCGAAGCCCGAGUUUAAUGCCUAGAUACAGAAAAGGAAGAAUGAAGGAGAUGAUAUGAGAUAAUCCGAGAUAUUAUAAUUAGAAGAGAACAAAGAGAACGGGCCAAACUAGAAAUAAAAAGACUCAACGAAUAAGCCAGCACGAAGAAAUGCCAAGUGGUUCCACGCUGACCGGGAGUGGUUCCAUUGUGAUGACACGUCACGGCGAGGAGUGGAGCUGGUCGAGCGUCAAAAGAUUCUACUGCGAAAUAGAAGAAAAGAUUCCAUUUACUGUUGUAAAUUCUGUAAAUACUGUAAAUUCUCAUGUGUUAAAUGGAUCAUCAUUGACAAUCCAUCUUCGGCUCACUGUUGAGCACGAGUCUCCUUUCCAUUACGCUGGCCAAAUGCGGAUAGGCAGACUUCACACACGUAGAGAAUUGAGAAAUUUCUCAUCGUUUAAGACACGUGAUUUGUUAAAUUGUAUUCAUACCACCGUAUAAUUUUAUUUAUGCUCAAAAAGCUAGAACCCCAAACCUAAAACCGACAAAGAAAAAAAUAUGAGUGGCGAUCUGUCUGUGGUACUAACUACUAGCGACAUCAUGUGUUGUGUUUGAUAACUCCUACUUAUAGUCUCGUAAGCAGCGGUUACGCAUAUUGAUAGUUUUGUGGAUUAUUUUAUUUGACCCUUCGUUUGUUUACUUUAAAGUUAUUUCAUUUUAUAUUACUGUAACUGCAAAGUCUGCAAAAUAACUAUGGGUUGUUGCACCUACAUCAUGUCCAUUAUGUGGUACGGUAUGAAAGACAUAGAAGUGAAAACAUGAUGCUACCGGCUCCUUGUUUGGAUAAUAGUUAUGUUAAUAGUAUAAAACUAAUAAAUAGUAAUAAAAACGCUUUUAUUUCAUAUUAUAUUCAUGGAAACACAUCUAUCAAGUAAAAAAAACAUACAGAAAGUAUUUUUUACUUACUUUUUUACUUUACUUUUACUUACUUUACUUUUCACUUAACCUACAAAAUCUAAAAUAUUAAAUAAAACAAAAUCCCCAAGUGCUGCACCAAUAUGACUUUUAUUUAUUAGUAGUAAUUAUCUGAGCCUUCAAAAUGAAGCAUGUUUCGAUCUUGUUCAGGUCAGGCCCAAGCUUGUAUGGGAUCGUGUUCAUCUCCUUUCCCAAUAGGAUAACUAUUGGUAUUUGGCAAUGAUCGUCGACGAGAUUGAGCAAUUUGGAACAUAAAGAGCAAUUAAAUAUUGGUUUAAAAAUAUCCGAAUCUUUCAGAAAUUGCUCAAUAUUGCUCCACUUCUCGAUUAUCUGCAACACGAGCAGAGAAGGAGAGUGUUGAUCGAUCAAGGAAUUCCUUAACCCUACAUCCAGUAGUCACAAGUCCUGGACUUUGCUUGGUGUUUUUCUCUCUACCACGCGAUGGACCCGGCACCUGCACGGACGGAAGAUAUUCGUCUCAUAUAAGUGCUCG
Bicyclus anynana (squinting bush brown) is the source of this 1889-nucleotide long non-coding RNA. RefSeq lists it as uncharacterized. The record is from RefSeq and is a predicted model, not a curated record. Lineage: Eukaryota; Metazoa; Arthropoda; Insecta; Lepidoptera; Nymphalidae. The transcript is spliced from 5 exons.